RNAcentral lists this ribosomal RNA (448 nucleotides) under uncultured bacterium. RNAcentral's name for it is "bacterial SSU rRNA". It matches the Rfam family "Bacterial small subunit ribosomal RNA", at positions 335 to 797 of the family's 1533-position model. The record is from RNAcentral.
UGCCCUACGGGGGGCAGCAGCAAGGAAUUUUCCACAAUGGGCGCAAGCCUGAUGGAGCAACGCCGCGUGCGGGAUGACGCCCUUCGGGGUGUAAACCGCUUUUCGAGGGGACGAAGGCAAUGACGGUACCCUCGGAAUAAGGAUCGGCUAACUACGUGCCAGCAGCCGCGGUAAGACGUAGGAUCCGAGCGUUGUCCGGAGUUACUGGGCGUAAAGCGCGCGCAGGCGGAUACGCGCAUCGGCGGGGAAAGCCCCCCGCUCAACGGGGGAGGGUCCGUCGAGAUGGCGUGUCUGGAGGCAGGGAGAGGCCAGUGGAAUUCCGGGUGUAGUGGUGAAAUGCGUAGAGAUCCGGAGGAACACCAGUGGCGAAGGCGGCUGGCUGGACCUGACCUGACGCUGAGGCGCGAAGGCGUGGGGAGCGAACGGGAUUAGAUACCCUAGUAGUCCG